Molecule: unclassified non-coding RNA, 798 nt
Filed under: Hevea brasiliensis (rubber tree)
Lineage: Eukaryota; Viridiplantae; Streptophyta; Magnoliopsida; Malpighiales; Euphorbiaceae
Source: RNAcentral
CAGCACAACCAGCUCGAGUAAUUUACUGCUAGCUGGGGGCAGAAAGUUAAUGAACAUUGAAGCAGGCAGUGCGAAAAACUUGGCAAGUAUACAUGUGGAUGGAAGUAACAAUCUCACUAUGUCUAGAACUCCACAUGUGGCUGGAAGCAACAACCUCACUCUGUCUAAAACUCCACAUGUGGCUGGUAGCAGCAGCAGAAUAAAUGCUGCGGAAAAGCACAGGAAAACAAAUUCUGGGGCAUCCUUAAUCAUAAAGUUGGAUGACAAUGAUUUAGGAGAGGCAUCUUCUGCAACAGGAGCAUCAUUAACACAAAAGUUUAUUGCUGAUUUUGAAGGUUGGGCAUGUGAUUCAUGCACAUUUCUGAAUGCUGACUCUACCACAACAUGCCUGAUGUGCAGUGAAGAUGCUUCUGGCAGUUGGGAAUGCGAGAAGUGUACGUUUCUCAAUAAGAAGCAUGCUUCCACAUGCCAAAUAUGUGAGCACCGUAAAUGAAGUCCUUGCACCUAAAAAUAAAUAGCUGCCCGGGGGAUACGCUCGGCCACAAUUUAGCUUUUGCAUUAUUCUACCUUACCGUUUUAUCAGUCUUAUGUUCUGCUUUUGGUCAAUAGUUACCUAAAACUUUCUUAUUGCAUCAGUUGGAUGCGUAGGCUUUGGGAGUAGUAUAGUUAUACAUAUAAAUGAAGUUCUUGGUAAUUGUAGUGAUACACUUUCUCCAGGUACACAGCAGCUUGAGCUUUAUGUUAUUACUUACUAGUAAUUGUCAGUGUUUAUUGUGAAGCCUCGGAACUGGUACUUUG